Molecule: ribosomal RNA, 84 nt
Filed under: Geobacillus sp. LEMMJ02
Lineage: Bacteria; Bacillati; Bacillota; Bacilli; Caryophanales; Anoxybacillaceae
Description: partial 23S ribosomal RNA
Rfam family: Bacterial large subunit ribosomal RNA
Source: RNAcentral
AGAUGACGAGGUCGAUAGGUCCGAGGUGGAAGCGUGGCGACACGUGGAGCUGACGGAUACUAAUCGAUCGAGGGCUUGACCUAU